UGGGGAAUAUUGCACAAUGGGCGAAAGCCUGAUGCAGCAACGCCGCGUGAGUGAUGAAGGUCUUCGGAUUGUAAAGCUCUGUCUUUUGGGACGAUAAUGACGGUACCAAAGGAGGAAGCCACGGCUAACUACGUGCCAGCAGCCGCGGUAAUACGUAGGUGGCGAGCGUUGUCCGGAUUUACUGGGCGUAAAGGGUGCGUAGGCGGAUGUUUAAGUGAGAUGUGAAAUACCCGGGCUUAACUUGGGUGCUGCAUUUCAAACUGGAUAUCUAGAGUGCAGGAGAGGAGAAUGGAAUUCCCAGUGUAGCGGUGAAAUGCGUAGAGAUUAGGAAGAACACCAGUGGCGAAGGCGAUUCUCUGGACUGUAACUGACGCUGAGGCACGAAAGCGUGGGUAGCAAACAGGAUUAGAUACCCUGGUAGUCCACGCCGUAAACGAUGAGUACUAGGUGUAGGAGGUAUCGACCCCUUCUGUGCCGCAGUAAACACAUUAAGUACUCCGCCUGGGAAGUACGAUCGCAAGAUUAAAACUCUAAAGUGAAUU
This 542-nucleotide ribosomal RNA is filed under the name uncultured bacterium. Its description in RNAcentral is "partial 16S ribosomal RNA". It matches the Rfam family "Bacterial small subunit ribosomal RNA", at positions 355 to 911 of the family's 1533-position model. The record is from RNAcentral.